AUUGCCCAGAGUCUAAGUACAGACUCAUGUCUAGAUCGAGGUUUAUUUUUGUGUAGAAGUUUCCUGGCCACAGAGUUUCAAAUGGGGGUGUGUUCCGUCCACUUAUGGUAGGCAACUGUCCCCAGAGAGGACUCACAGAAGGCGGAGCAUCACUUGUGAAAACUACUCCUUAUUGCAAGUGACAUUUUCCUGAAAUACCAUCGUCUGGUCUAGACUGAAGUUUCAGAAGAAGUGCCUUUCCCUUGAAGAGGAGUUUCCUUGUGGCUUUCAAACUCCUACAUCAAACAGCUCCGUUCUAUCAACCGGCAUUAGCCAGAAAUCAAGAUGAAAACACAGCCAGGCUCCCUGGCCUUGGCAAAAGGAUUAAAAAGCUUCCCUUUCCGUGUUUAUUUAUGGAACUUGGGCCAAGGUCCCGAUCUUAUUUCCAACCACUUUAGGGGGUCUUAAUCCCCCUGGGAUGUCAGCCACCUGGGGCCCUGACUGCAGAGUUUUCACACUACAGCACUGGUCUUUGAAAGAAAGUUCUGUGGGCUGAAGUUCUAAUGCUCAUACGUGUAAAUUACACGGAUGUACUUGCUUGGAAAAUGAAUCACACGGUGGAAAAUCUAGCACUAGGAGGCCACUAUACAUUUAACUCACAUUUUUAUUUUUCAUUUUUGUCUUUUAGAAAUUAUUUUAUCUACUUAUUUAUUAUUAUUAUCAUCAUCAUUAUUAUUAUUGAAUCUUUUUUUACAGUCCAGUCAUUAGCUCCCCUCCCAGUCCACCCUCUGACUGUUCCUCAUCCCAUACCUCCUCCCCCAACUCCAAGAGGAUGUCCCGUCUUGUUUUCUUAUUUAAUCUUUAUGGCUGUGGCCAUAGAGAAUGACAUCUUUGAGACUACUAUUAGGUUUGGGGACAUAUAAAUAUGGACUUAUGGGGAAGAAAUCUUUCCAGUUAGAUCCUUAAUUUUCAUUUUACUGGGGCUCUUUGGAAUACUUGGUGUUGACGUAUAUUUGCUUAAAAGUAAAAGGUCAGAAUAUUUAUAAUAGCACCAUCUAUUAUUAUGAAAAACUAAUUUUUAGUGUGGACCAAUAAAAAAACAAACGUAGAGUAAGAGAUGAAAAAAAAAAUUAAUUGAGCCCGGAGUCCCGUGGCUCCUUCUCGGCUCCUGUAGGGUGUUCUGGGCAUCAUUACUUGGGGUUCUUUCAUCCCCACUUGAGCUCCGAGCCACCUCUGAGACAGCUGGUAAGGAAAUCAACCUCUCUCCUUACAAAUGGACAUAACAUUUUCUUUGAGGCGAGUGAGUCACAUGCACAGCCCAUGACUGGCUCUGCCACACGUGCUUUGGACUUCAGCAAUGGUGUGCGUCUUCAAACACAUCAGAGAGAGAAGCAGGGGCGGGUGGCCAUGCUGGCAUGGCCACAGGACUGCUGUUCAUGGCUGUGCAGCUGCAGACAACUCUUCACUGUGGUUUCCAUGACUGCUGUCCGUUAUAGCAGGGUCCUGUGCGACUUAUACAACUGUAGCUAUGCAGUGGCCCAGGCUCUCAAGUGCUCUCCCUCAGACUUGGAAGAGAACCCUGCCUGGCCUGCUCAAGACCACAGCAGAUGUAUGGAAUGGGAAUCACACACUGCUGGGCCAGGAAGAGAGCUCAGUACAGUUCCAGUUGAUGAGGGACGGACAACUACUAUAUUCAGGGGGAUGAAAAAACUGGGUCAAAAGAUGGUGAGCUCGUGGUAGAAAGGAAGAUGCCAACAUCUGUAGACAAUUUCAUGGGGAGACCCUAAAAGAUAUGCUGAUAAAUAAGGGCUCAGUGUGGAAAAUGUGCCUAAAUACACAGGUCAUCACAAUGGAGGGCUAUGUUCCUUAUACACAAUACAUCUCUGUAGGCAUGACCGCUCAUUUAAAUGCUAAUGUAUGCAUAUUUUAGAAACCCUAAACACAUCCAGUAUGCUCUUCUGUACACUGGCCUGUUUGUCUUUAACGAAAUCUUGCUUUCCUAGCUAUGGCGAUGGCCCUUUCUCUCCAGCAGAAACUCAUUCACAUGGUCCCUUAACGAGGCCCAGGAGACUGUGAUGAAGAAUAACGCCAACUGGCAACUUGAUAGGCUCUGGAGUAACCAAGGAG
This 2106-nucleotide long non-coding RNA is filed under the name Mus musculus (house mouse). RNAcentral describes it as "long non-coding RNA chr16:84986018-84988124". The record is from RNAcentral. Lineage: Eukaryota; Metazoa; Chordata; Mammalia; Rodentia; Muridae.